Molecule: long non-coding RNA, 714 nt
Organism: Galeopterus variegatus (Sunda flying lemur)
Lineage: Eukaryota; Metazoa; Chordata; Mammalia; Dermoptera; Cynocephalidae
Exons: 2
Source: RefSeq, a predicted model, not a curated record
AGUUAUUAUUGUAAGGAAAAUUGAUGUUUGGGAGAGGGCCAAAAUUAUAAAUAAUAAUAGUUAUGAUGCUUUAAGCUUUUGCUACAUGUCUGGCAAUGAGCUAGGCCCUUUGCGUACAUGCACAUAUCUUACAAGGUGGGUAUUAUCCUCAUUAUACAGUUGCAAAAACAGGUUGUUAUUUUACCUAGUCACACAACUUGUAAAAAUUGUUCCCCUUUCUACUACUAUAGUUUCUACAUUGAGUUACUAGUGUUCUUUCCUCUGUAGUUUACCCUUUAACCAGAAUACUGUCUUAUUCACUUGGCUUUGGACAGCUUAAUUCAUCUCAGAUUGCAUUUAAGAAACUGGGAAGAAGAAACUUCUCCAAACAGCCUUUCCUGCAAGCUCCUCAGAGUAAAAUUUGCUCCAAAACUAAUUCAGGGGGCAUCUGCAUAGAGUUGCUGGCCAGCAAUACUUGAGCAAGGAGAGUCAAAGAUAACCACUCUUGGAGGGAAUAAAUGGGAUCUUCAUCUCUAGGUCCCCAAAGCCUUACACAAGCUGAUGGACUCGGCCUGCUGGGGCCCUGGUUUCUCCAUAACCUCCCAGGAUGCCUCUGAAAAAUCAGCUUAGAAAUCCCUGAGGAUGAGAACUCUGUCCUCCUGUUGGCACAUUCUGGUUUUUCUAAAGACAAAGUAUGAGCUAAUAUUCUGACUUUUAAAAAAGACGAUGAGCAGA